UACGUAGGGUGCGAGCGUUAAUCGGAAUUACUGGGCGUAAAGCGUGCGCAGGCGGUUCGUUAAGACAGAUGUGAAAUCCCCGGGCUUAACCUGGGAACUGCAUUUGUGACUGGCGAGCUAGAGUAUGGCAGAGGGGGGUAGAAUUCCACGUGUAGCAGUGAAAUGCGUAGAGAUGUGGAGGAAUACCGAUGGCGAAGGCAGCCCCCCGGGCCAAUACUGACGCUCAUGCACGAAAGCGUGGGGAGCAAACAGG
Molecule: ribosomal RNA, 253 nt
Filed under: uncultured bacterium
Lineage: Bacteria
Description: partial 16S ribosomal RNA
Rfam family: Bacterial small subunit ribosomal RNA
Source: RNAcentral